RNAcentral lists this long non-coding RNA (1094 nucleotides) under Pan troglodytes (chimpanzee). Its description in RNAcentral is "long non-coding RNA NONPTRT002758". The record is from RNAcentral. Lineage: Eukaryota; Metazoa; Chordata; Mammalia; Primates; Hominidae.
GCUUCUCCUUGAGGAUGUCGUAGGUCACCACCUCAGCACAGUUGACGAUAGCAUUCCUCAUGAUGUUGGGCAAAGUUCCUGUUAGGAAGGCGGUGGGGAGGGAUGUGAAAUGGGUGGGGAGGGAGGAACGGGAAAUGGGAGAAAUGGAUGCCCUGGCUGCAAGGCCACAGGCCCCAGUUUUGGGGCCAGAGUGCCCCAUUCCAAUGGUCUCAGCCAGAGGAUCCCACCCCAGCUGAGCAGAUUCCACAUUUUCCUUUCUAGGGUUAACAACUCUCAGAUUAUCCAUGUUUUCCUCAGAGACAGAGAACAGAGAGGCCCACUUGUGUUCAUUUGGCCACAUUUGGAGGGUGAUCUGCAAUAGCUGUCAAAAUUAAAAUAUGCUUCCUUGAGACCCAGCUGCAGCCAGAAAAGAAAGUCAUUCAGCGAGAGGCUGAGCUCUUGGAACAGUGACAGAAUGUGGUGCCAGCAGGGCCCCAGGAAACUGUCAGGAUCAAACCCCUGGUUUCACAGGCUCCUGUGCUGAAGGAACUCAAAGCUAUACAGGAAAGCCAUCCCAGACAGCUGGCUGACAGCAAGGCCCUGGGGAAGAAGUGGGGGCCUGAUAGGGGAGGGGGCAGUUCUGAAAGGAGAUGGGAGCAGCCUCCACAGGCAAACCUGGCUGACUUCAUGGCAUGCAGCUUGCUCUUCCCUGUCAUCAAGUCCCAUGAGCUGAGGCUGUCAUAAGCUGAAGGACUAUUGAGAGCACACUGUACCACUUCCUGGGCACUGAGAAGAAGCUUGGUGGAGACCCUAGAGACUGGGACUACCUACCCCCUGCAGUUAUGCUCAUGAGAAACUGAGGCCCAGCGAGAGUUGCUUCUGGCAUCAGUAACAUUCAGUUAUUCUUUCUUUCAUGUCUUCAAUCUUUUUUAAUACCUACUUGAGAGGGGCGCAGAAAUAAACAGAACUCCGUUUUAGGCUUUCUCAGCUCAGAGUUAAGCCCUGGGAGGCAGAGAGAUCUGCCUAAAGAAUUAGAAUUGCCAGAAUGAGAUAAGGGGAGUGGAGUCAGGCAUCCCUGAUCUACUGCCUGGAUGUCAGUUUCCCACCCAUGAAAU